GCCUCCGUGGUGUAGUGGUAGUCACAAUGGCCUGUGGAGCCGUUGGCUCGGGUUCGAUUCCCGACGGAGGCC
Molecule: transfer RNA, 72 nt
Filed under: Nitrososphaeria archaeon
Lineage: Archaea; Thermoproteati; Nitrososphaerota; Nitrososphaeria
Description: tRNA-His
Rfam family: tRNA
About the family: Transfer RNA (tRNA) molecules are approximately 80 nucleotides in length. Their secondary structure includes four short double-helical elements and three loops (D, anti-codon, and T loops). Further hydrogen bonds mediate the characteristic L-shaped molecular structure. tRNAs have two regions of fundamental functional importance: the anti-codon, which is responsible for specific mRNA codon recognition, and the 3' end, to which the tRNAs corresponding amino acid is attached (by aminoacyl-tRNA synthetases). tRNAs cope with the degeneracy of the genetic code in two manners: having more than one tRNA (with a specific anti-codon) for a particular amino acid; and 'wobble' base-pairing, i.e. permitting non-standard base-pairing at the 3rd anti-codon position.
Source: RNAcentral